AACGAACGCUGGCGGCAUGCCUAACACAUGCAAGUCGAACGAAACCUUCGGGUCUAGUGGCGCACGGGUGCGUAACGCGUGGGAACCUGCCCUUAGGUUCGGAAUAACUCCCCGAAAGGGGUGCUAAUACCGGAUAAUGUCUUCGGACCAAAGAUUUAUCGCCUUUGGAUGGGCCCGCGUUGGAUUAGCUAGUUGGUAGGGUAAAAGCCUACCAAGGCGACGAUCCAUAGCUGGUCUGAGAGGAUGAUCAGCCACACUGGGACUGAGACACGGCCCAGACUCCUACGGGAGGCAGCAGUGGGGAAUAUUGGACAAUGGGCGAAAGCCUGAUCCAGCAAUGUCGCGUGAGUGAUGAAGGCCUUAGGGUUGUAAAGCUCUUUUACCCGGGAUGAUAAUGACAGUACCGGGAGAAUAAGCUCCGGCUAACUCCGUG
RNAcentral lists this ribosomal RNA (433 nucleotides) under uncultured bacterium. RNAcentral describes it as "partial 16S ribosomal RNA". It matches the Rfam family "Bacterial small subunit ribosomal RNA", at positions 29 to 507 of the family's 1533-position model. The record is from RNAcentral.